GAGUAGUGCGGGGCACGUGAAACCCCGUAUGAAUCCGGCAGGACCAUCUGCCAAGGCUAAAUACUUCCUAGCGACCGAUAGUGAAGCAGUACCGUGAGGGAAAGGUGAAAAGCACCCCGGAAGGGGAGUGAAAUAGAACCUGAAACCGUGUGCUUACAAAAAGUCAGAGCCCGUUUUAGGGGUGAUGGCGUGCCUUUUGUAGAAUGAACCGGCGAGUUACGUUCCCGUGCAAGGUUAAGGUGAAGAGCCGGAGCCGCAGCGAAAGCGAGUCUGAAUAGGGCGACAUAGUACGUGGACGUAGACCCGAAACCGGGUGAUCUACCCCUGUCCAGGGUGAAGGUGCGGUAACACGCACUGGAGGCCCGAACCCACGCAUGUUGAAAAAUGCGGGGAUGAGGUGGGGGUAGCGGAGAAAUUCCAAUCGAACUCGGAGAUAGCUGGUUCUCCCCGAAAUAGCUUUAGGGCUAGCCUCGGAAAACAGAGUCGUGGAGGUAGAGCACUGAUUGGGUGCGGGGCCCGCAAGGGUUACCAAGCUCAGUCAAACUCCGAAUGCCAUAGACUUACUUCCGGGAGUCAGACAGUGAGUGCUAAGAUCCAUUGUCAAAAGGGAAACAGCCCAGACCAUCAGCUAAGGUCCCCAAGUGUGUGUUAAGUGGGAAAGGAUGUGGAGUUGCACAGACAACCAGGAUGUUGGCUUAGAAGCAGCCACCAUUGAAAGAGUGCGUAAUAGCUCACUGGUCGAGUGACUCUGCGCCGAAAAUGUAACGGGGCUAAACACACCACCGAAGCUAUGGCUUGAUGCUUUGCAUCAGGGGUAGGGGAGCGUUGUAUAAGGGUUGAAGGUGUACCGUAAGGAGCGCUGGACAUUAUACAAGUGAGAAUGCCGGUAUGAGUAACGAAAAGAUCAGUGAGAAUCUGAUCCGCCGAAAGCCUAAGGGUUCCUGAGGAAGGCUCGUCCGCUCAGGGUAAGUCGGGACCUAAGGCGAGGCCGAAAGGCGUAGUCGAAGGACAACAGGUCGAAAUUCCUGUACCACCGUAAGCCGUUAUGAGCAAUGGGGGGACGCAGCAGGGUAGUGACGCGGACUGAUGGAUGUCCGUCUAAGCAGUGAGGCUGAUGUGUAGGCAA
RNAcentral lists this ribosomal RNA (1126 nucleotides) under Salmonella enterica. RNAcentral's name for it is "partial 23S ribosomal RNA". It matches the Rfam family "Bacterial large subunit ribosomal RNA", at positions 410 to 1539 of the family's 2925-position model. Lineage: Bacteria; Pseudomonadati; Pseudomonadota; Gammaproteobacteria; Enterobacterales; Enterobacteriaceae. The record is from RNAcentral.